Molecule: ribosomal RNA, 503 nt
Filed under: uncultured bacterium
Lineage: Bacteria
Description: partial 16S ribosomal RNA
Rfam family: Bacterial small subunit ribosomal RNA
Source: RNAcentral
AUUGAACGCUGGCGGCAGGCUUAACACAUGCAAGUCGAGCGGGGUGAUGGUGCUUGCACUAUCACUUAGCGGCGGACGGGUGAGUAAUGCUUAGGAAUCUGCCUAUUAGUGGGGGACAACAUCUCGAAAGGGAUGCUAAUACCGCAUACGUCCUACGGGAGAAAGCAGGGGAUCACUUGUGACCUUGCGCUAAUAGAUGAGCCUAAGUCGGAUUAGCUAGUUGGUGGGGUAAAGGCCUACCAAGGCGACGAUCUGUAGCGGGUCUGAGAGGAUGAUCCCCCAAACUGGGAAUGAGACACGGCCCGGACUGCUACGGGAGGCAGCAGUGGGGAAUAUUGGACAAGGGGGGGAACCCUGAUCCAGCCAUGCCGCGUGUGUGAAGAAGGCCUUAUGGUUGUAAAGCACUUUAAGCGAGGAGGAGGCUCUUUUGGUUAAUACCCAAGAUGAGUGGACGUUACUCGCAGAAUAAGCACCGGCUAACUCUGUGCCAGCAGCCGCGGUAA